ACAGCAGUAGCCGCGGGAAUACGGAGGGUGCAAGCGUUAAUCGGAAUUACUGGGCGUAAAGCGCACGCAGGCGGUCUGUCAAGUCGGAUGUGAAAUCCCCGGGCUUAACCUGGGAACUGCAUUUGUGACUGGCGGGCUAGAGUAUGGCAGAGGGGGGUAGAAUUCCACGUGUAGCAGUGAAAUGCGUAGAGAUGUGGAGGAAUACCGAUGGCGAAGGCAGCCCCCUGGGCCAAUACUGACGCUCAUGCACGAAAGCGUGGGGAGCAAACAGGAUUAGAUACCCCUGUAGUCCCUGUCUCUUAUAC
Molecule: ribosomal RNA, 305 nt
Filed under: uncultured bacterium
Lineage: Bacteria
Description: partial 16S ribosomal RNA
Rfam family: Bacterial small subunit ribosomal RNA
Source: RNAcentral